UCCCACCCCCAGUCCAGUGCAUAUAAUUAGCGCGGCUAGGAAAUUUGGAUUUGCGAAUCAAGUGACCUGUAGCUUCGGUUGAAGGGCCACAAUCUAACGGAACUCCUUGACCACAUUAAAUACUCUGCACAAUAACGAAAAUGAGGAUCCUGACCCUGUCACUGCUCCUCUUUAAUGCUUUUAUGAAGACAGAAGCGACUCCGACGACAGGUGGGAAUGCUAAGGGUGCACCCUGCGUGUUUCCGUUUGUCUACCAGGGAAAGUCCUACAGCUACUGCAUUACGUAUAAUGAAGACCGGAGGCUGCCAUGGUGUGCCACCACGAGUAAUUUUGAUCAAGACAAACAGUGGGGCUACUGUCCAAAGUCAGGCAUUAAGGCAGUGAACGGGAGAGCAGGUCCCGAGUGUGUCUUCCCCUUCGUCUACAAAGGAAAGUGGUACUUUACCUGCACAAACGAGGACAGAGACAAGAAGUGGUGUGCAGUGACCAGUAAUUACGAUGAGGACCAGAAGUGGGCUUACUGCUCUAAUACCGGUCUUCCAGCAGUUGGUGGGAAUGCCAACGGAGCCCCUUGUGUUUUCCCCUUUAUCUAUCAAGGACAAACAUACACAUCUUGCACUAACAAAAACUUUGAGGGCUUGUGGUGUGCAACAACAGGCAACUAUGACAAAGACACUCGGUGGAGCACCUGUCCAGGUGCUGCUGUCCCAUCUUGUGCCUUUCCUUUUACUUACCAAAAUAAAGAGUACAAGUUCUGUACCACCGCUAAUUGGGUUGAAGGACGACCCUGGUGUUCUCUCAACACCCAAUAUGAUGGCAAAUGGACAUACUGUCCGACCUCAGGGGUUCAGACAUUUUCCGGUAAUGCAGAGAGACCCGACUGUGUGUUUCCCUUUAUCUACAAGGGGGUAACCUACAACUCCUGUACCAAAGUGGACAGCCAUGAAGACUGGUGCUCCAUAACUACUAACUAUGAUCAAGAGAAGCUCUGGGGUUACUGUGAAACUAAAUCUGAGUUUAGGACAACAGGUGGGAAUGCCAAUGGUGCACCCUGUGUGUUUCCCUUUCACUUACAAGGGAAAACCCUACAAACACUGCAUUACCUACGAUGAAAAGCGACACCUGCCUUGGUGCUCCACCACAAGUAAUUAUGAUGAUGAUAAAAUUUGGGGCUACUGCCCAACCUCAGGUAUAAAAGCAGUGAAUGGAACAGCUGGCCCCCAGUGUGUCUUUCCAUUUGUCUACAAGGGAAAAUGGUACUUCACCUGCACCCAAGAAGACACAGACAAGAAGUGGU
RNA transcript from Polypterus senegalus (gray bichir), 1297 nucleotides. It is a transcript of the gene named epididymal sperm-binding protein 1-like, with no coding region annotated. NCBI's taxonomy places the organism in Eukaryota, Metazoa, Chordata, Cladistia, Polypteriformes, Polypteridae. The record is from RefSeq and is a predicted model, not a curated record. The transcript is spliced from 9 exons.